RNAcentral lists this ribosomal RNA (253 nucleotides) under uncultured bacterium. Its description in RNAcentral is "partial 16S ribosomal RNA". It matches the Rfam family "Bacterial small subunit ribosomal RNA", at positions 524 to 776 of the family's 1533-position model. The record is from RNAcentral.
UACAGAGGGGGCAAGCGUUGUUCGGAAUUACUGGGCGUAAAGGGCGCGUAGGCGGCCUGCUAAGUCGAACGUGAAAUCCCUGGGCUCAACCCAGGAACUGCGUCCGAUACUGGUUGGCUUGAAUCCGGGAGAGGGAUGUGGAAUUCCAGGUGUAGCGGUGAAAUGCGUAGAUAUCAGGAGGAACACCAGUGGCGAAGGCGCCGCUCUGGGCCGAGACUGACGCUGAGGAGCGAAAGCGUGGGUAGCAAACAGG